GCCUGUGCCAGCUUCUCCUGAAAUCCCUAAAAUUCCUGCUCCUCCUGCUGUUCCUAAAAUUCCUGAUUCUCCACAUAUUCCACACAGUCAUGAUCCUUCUGCUGUUCCUGAAUCUCAGGGAAUCAUCAUCAACCUGAAAAAUGGGGAGCUGUGUUUGUUCAGUGUGCAGUGUAAGAGCUCCUGCUGUCAGCGUUCCUCUGGCAUCGACCUCUUUCGCUGUGCUCCACGUGGUGCAGAGUGAGAGACAUGCUCCAAAAAGACCCUGUAUGGUACAUACUAUUUCUGCCCCUGUGAGAAAGGACGUGAUUGCAAAGGUGACUGGUCUAUUGGAGGAUUCAUCACCAGCACCAACUUUGGAACCUGUGUGGACCCUAACUAAGGCAGUCUGGAACUGCCUUAUUGCCCUUAAUGCC
This is a long non-coding RNA of Pygocentrus nattereri (red-bellied piranha), 413 nucleotides long. RefSeq lists it as uncharacterized. The transcript is spliced from 3 exons. Lineage: Eukaryota; Metazoa; Chordata; Actinopteri; Characiformes; Serrasalmidae. The record is from RefSeq and is a predicted model, not a curated record.